This 455-nucleotide ribosomal RNA is filed under the name Pseudomonas sp. IGS59. RNAcentral's name for it is "bacterial SSU rRNA". It matches the Rfam family "Bacterial small subunit ribosomal RNA", at positions 21 to 472 of the family's 1533-position model. The record is from RNAcentral. Lineage: Bacteria; Pseudomonadati; Pseudomonadota; Gammaproteobacteria; Pseudomonadales; Pseudomonadaceae.
GGCUCAGAUUGAACGCUGGCGGCAGGCCUAACACAUGCAAGUCGAGCGGUAGAGAGGUGCUUGCACCUCUUGAGAGCGGCGGACGGGUGAGUAAUGCCUAGGAAUCUGCCUGGUAGUGGGGGAUAACGCUCGGAAACGGACGCUAAUACCGCAUACGUCCUACGGGAGAAAGCAGGGGACCUUCGGGCCUUGCGCUAUCAGAUGAGCCUAGGUCGGAUUAGCUAGUUGGUGGGGUAAUGGCUCACCAAGGCGACGAUCCGUAACUGGUCUGAGAGGAUGAUCAGUCACACUGGAACUGAGACACGGUCCAGACUCCUACGGGAGGCAGCAGUGGGGAAUAUUGGACAAUGGGCGAAAGCCUGAUCCAGCCAUGCCGCGUGUGUGAAGAAGGUCUUCGGAUUGUAAAGCACUUUAAGUUGGGAGGAAGGGCAUUAACCUAAUACGUUAGUGUUUGA